This 3476-nucleotide unclassified non-coding RNA is filed under the name Dendronephthya gigantea. RNAcentral's name for it is "uncharacterized LOC114544072, transcript variant X2". Lineage: Eukaryota; Metazoa; Cnidaria; Anthozoa; Malacalcyonacea; Nephtheidae. The record is from RNAcentral.
UACUUAUUGUUUACCAUAUUUCAACACCUAAGCUGUGAUGUCAUUGUAAUUGACAAUAAAGUCGAUUGUUUCAAGCAUAAUAAAGAGAAGUGGAAUAGCAUUAGAUUCAGCAUUUGUUAGCAUGUUUAAUCUUUAUAAUCUUCGGUGAAAUAAAGUACUUCUAAAGCUCAAUUGCCCAAAGUAAAGUAUCGCCAUUUAGUGAUUUCAAAUUUCGUGAUGACAUUUCGUCUUCCUUUAAUUGCAUAAGACGUCACAUUCUCAACAUUGGUCUAUCUUAAAAUUAUGUAAUUAUGUUGUACUAGUAGUUCAGAAUAAACCCGAUUUCAAAAAUCGAAUCUUACGUACGACAAACUACGGAUAUUGAUAUAUCCAAAUUUGCCUUAAGCAUGAAAAUAGCAAAUAGCAACGUUGACGUUCAUUUAACUGUUUUUAUACGUUGAAAAGGGGACUUCCCUAAAUAUCCACCCACCUCCACACACACCCACUAAGAGAUUAUUAAAUGCCAGUUGGUUGGUAUUUGGUUGUUUUACUCAAAAUCCCCGUAUUAGGCUGUUAGUGUUAUACCCAAAAUAAAUAAUAAGCAAUUUACCCGUUUUAAAGUAUCGAACAUAGUUAUCAUAGAGAAGCUGGAUGUUGAAAUUUAAAGUGUCGAAACUCGCUUUAACCUUUGUACUGUUAUGCUAAUAUAUUUCCGGUUUGGAUCUGAUAUCUUUACUACACAUCUGUUGCCAGUCGGUCUAAUGACAGAACUUCGCACUUAUGGCACAGGUGAAGAAGAUUUACGAUAAAAGGCGAUGGUAUUUAUUCAUAGUGUCGUGGUACUAUAUCCGUACAAGUAUAUCUUGUCCGCCGGGCACUUUUAAAAGCGAUUUUUUAAGCGGGGGUUGUACACCGUGUCCCAGUAACUUGGAGUAUUGUAAGAAUGAGGAAUACAACGAUUCGAUACGCUGUUUUAAAGCCUGCCGGAAAUUAUUUACAACAAAGGCACCAAUCACCAGCCCAACAAUCCCAGUACUGGUGACAAAACCCACAACGACACCUCGUCCAAUCACAAAAUGGGUAACAAAACGCUGGACGAUAACCGAAUUUGAGAAGUUCAAGAAGACACUCGAAUUCUCAACGCCAACUGUUCUGUCAGUUAUAUCGACUGGUAAGGGCAACUACAACAACAACAAUGGCAAUUCCAUCGGUGUGAUAUCAGCUAUACUGAUAGCAGUAUUGAUAAUAUGUGUCCUAAUUGGCAUUUUGUUGCGGUUUAUCUGGCGACUAUAUCAGAAAAACAAGAGAAGUGGUCAACAACAGGAAAGGCCACCAAGUCCUUGUUAUUCAGCGGUACAGCAGUCGAACUCCAGUAUUGAGGAUGAUAUCCAAGAAGAUGCCAUACCCGAAGACUCAGUGUCUCGUGAAAAUUUCAAUAACUUGACCGAGACAACCCUGUAAUGUGGUGAUGUUGAUAGACAAUUAAGGGGACGCACAUAAUGUAUAUUGUUAUUAAAAAUAACGUAUCUAUCGCCAUAUUUUAUCAUAGUUUUAAAUGUAUAGUUUUGAUACUGACAUGCACCCAAAAGCUCACAGACAAAAGCAACCGUAAUGGCAUCAGGAUUCAGGAAAGAAGAGCGUGGUUUGUUGCAAAAUUUUGACAGCAUUAAAGCGCACAAACCAACCCAAUGAUUAAUUCGGCUAAAUCGCUUAACGAAAUUAAUCGUCUUAUUAUCUAUUGUUGGACUUUAAUUCGAGGUAUUUAACAGGACCAAAAUGCAAAGUGUAAAGUUGGCACAUUUACACGAGGGAAAAUAAGCAGUGAAUAAACAGUCAAUUCGCAAAAAGGCGCGGCUCAUUUAAGCCAAAAGUGUUCGCCUAAGCGUUUUGUACUGUAUAAAAAUAUUGCUUACGUUUUCACUAGGCGAUAAAAUUCCUUCACGUUCUCAAAAAACGCUUCGGUUUGGCUUUUUGAAACGCGCAUGCGUAUUAGGAUGAUGUUCUAUCUGCUGUUUCCGUUGCCGUUGGGGUUGGUUUUGCUUUAACUCUCUAGUAUUUCACUCAUACAACGUCUUGAAUUUUAAUUCAAUCCAAAAUUUUGUAAUUAUUCCACGAAACGCAAAUUCUGAUUGAGCUCAUUAGGCGGGUGGAUGUUUUAUCACUAAGCGUAUAUAAUAUGAAUGCAGGCAUUCAGCGGUAAUUUUUAUGAUGUAUGCACUCAAAUUGUAGUUUGGAAUAGCGAAACUGCGAAACAAAAAAAAAAAAAAAAGAAAAAGAAAGGAUUAAAAAGUUAAAAUAAUAACCAAUUGCGUUCAAAAAAGGUUCAAAUUUUUCACUUUCUCCUAAAAACAGUGAAACUGAAACAAAAGAAAAAAAGAAACCAGUUCUAUGAUAAGGAAAUGGAAGUGAAACUUUGUUGUAAACUCUGGUCACAGAGUCGUUUACGAAAUUUGCAUUUUUCGUUAUCACAUAACUUGUCAUUUUUCGCCGUCUUCGCUAAUUUUACCAUAUUUCAAAGCGUUUAUAAAAAUGGAUUGCGUAAUUGUUAGUAUAAUGCUUAUAUAUCAACCAAGAUAGUCGCAACCUUUAAAAUAAACAGAGAGACGACAUUUGAAAACUAUAUAUAGGAUGUCAAAUGCAUGUCAAAUUCAACGUAUUCGAAGCUUGCAAUUUUCUUGUUCCUGGCUAAACGUGUAGUUUCAGGCUUCUUAAAGUGCCAAUUAAAUUAUCUUAUCAUAUUUCAAUUUCAUGCACUUUCAUUUUGUCAGAAAUGUUCGCAUGUACAAUUUUAUCAGAUUGGUAAUGGAAGUUUUUAUUGUGUAAAAUGUUGAUUGUUUCAAUGCCAUAAUUAUAUAGAUUUUUUACCAAAAAUCUUUCCUAAUUUUUUCGACACUGUAAGAAUAAACGAUUCGUAUAAUGUGAAAAAAAACUCAGUCGAAAUGUCAACCUACAGAUAAAUAUCAAAGCACUAACUGGCAUAAUUUUGCUACGUGAACCAAAAAAAUUUAGACGCUCGUUGUACGUGCCAAGAUAAAAGCAAUAAAAAUUUUAAAAGAAAGCUUCCUUUACAAUUAUGGAAGCACAAAUGUGAGAAUAAUCUGACCAGACUGUAUGACCGGCAGUAUCUUGAAUUUUAAUACACAUUUAACAUUGAAAAAACGCUGGCGAUCAGUUUCGCCGAGAAAGACAGUUUCAACGAUUAUUAAUGACUUUUAGUAUCACAGAGAUUUAAUUUUACAAGUAUUAAUUACGUUUUAUUUUACACUUGUAUUAAACUUUGAAUUCUCUGCAAGCUAGGAAACAAGAUUGGAAGUUUCAAAUCACGAAAGCCUUUAUGAUCACUGUAUAAAUAGCAAUAAUAAUUUUGACAUUGAAAGUCAAUUAUAUACAUUACAUACGACUUUCUUGCGUAAAAAUGUAACAAUUUUUCAAUUCACUUUUAUAAUGUAUAAUUAUGCUUUUCAAUUUUGUAAUAAGGUAAUUUAUAAUAACGAAGU